Molecule: ribosomal RNA, 166 nt
Filed under: uncultured bacterium
Lineage: Bacteria
Description: partial 16S rRNA
Rfam family: Bacterial small subunit ribosomal RNA
Source: RNAcentral
UAGGGAAUCUUCGGCAAUGGGGGCAACCCUGACCGAGCAACGCCGCGUGAGUGAAGAAGGUUUUCGGAUCGUAAAGCUCUGUUGUAAGAGAAGAACGUGUGUGAGAGUGGAAAGUUCACACAGUGACGGUAACUUACCAGAAAGGGACGGCUAACUACGUGCCAAG